UGGGGAAUUUUGGACAAUGGGGGAAACCCUGAUCCAGCCAUCCCGCGUGUGCGAUGAAGGCCUUCGGGUUGUAAAGCACUUUUGGCAGGAAAGAAACGUCAUGGGUUAAUACCCCGUGAAACUGACGGUACCUGCAGAAUAAGCACCGGCUAACUACGUGCCAGCAGCCGCGGUAAAACGUAGGGUGCAAGCGUUAAUCGGAAUUACUGGGCGUAAAGCGUGCGCAGGCGGUUCGGAAAGAAAGAUGUGAAAUCCCAGAGCUCAACUUUGGAACUGCAUUUUUAACUACCGGGCUAGAGUGUGUCAGAGGGAGGUGGAAUUCCGCGUGUGGCAGUGAAAUGCGUAGAUAUGCGGAGGAACACCGAUGGCGAAGGCAGCCUCCUGGGAUAACACUGACGCUCAUGCACGAAAGCGUGGGGAGCAAACAGG
This 429-nucleotide ribosomal RNA is filed under the name Acidobacteriota bacterium. Its description in RNAcentral is "Acidobacteria bacterium partial 16S ribosomal RNA". It matches the Rfam family "Bacterial small subunit ribosomal RNA", at positions 355 to 776 of the family's 1533-position model. Lineage: Bacteria; Pseudomonadati; Acidobacteriota. The record is from RNAcentral.